AGUGAACGCUGGCGGUAGGCCUAACACAUGCAAGUCGAACGGCAGCACAGUAAGAGCUUGCUCUUACGGGUGGCGAGUGGCGGACGGGUGAGGAAUACAUCGGAAUCUACUUUUUCGUGGGGGAUAACGUAGGGAAACUUACGCUAAUACCGCAUACGACCUACGGGUGAAAGCAGGGGAUCUUCGGACCUUGCGCGAUUGAAUGAGCCGAUGUCGGAUUAGCUAGUUGGCGGGGUAAAGGCACACCAAGGCGACGAUGCGUAGCUGGUCUGAGAGGAUGAUCAGCCACACUGGAACUGAGACACGGUCCAGACUCCUACGGGAGGCAGCAGUGGGGAAUAUUGGGCAAUGGGCGCAAGCCUGAUCCAGCCAUACCGCGUGGGUGAAGAAGGCCUUCGGGUUGUAAAGCCCUUUUGUUGGGAAAGAAAAGCAGUAGGUUAAUACCCCGAUGUUCUGACGGUACCCAAAGAAUAAGCACCGGCUAACUUCGUG
Molecule: ribosomal RNA, 492 nt
Filed under: uncultured bacterium
Lineage: Bacteria
Description: partial 16S ribosomal RNA
Rfam family: Bacterial small subunit ribosomal RNA
Source: RNAcentral